This is a long non-coding RNA of Arabidopsis lyrata subsp. lyrata, 655 nucleotides long. RefSeq lists it as uncharacterized. NCBI's taxonomy places the organism in Eukaryota, Viridiplantae, Streptophyta, Magnoliopsida, Brassicales, Brassicaceae. The record is from RefSeq and is a predicted model, not a curated record. The transcript is spliced from 2 exons.
UUGUUUUUUUCUAGGCUUUAUUCUCGACAAAAGUUGUUUUGCUCUUGGGCUAAGCUACUUUCUUGGACUUGACGCUCUUCCUCUCUUGAGACACUUAAAUAAUUGUCCAUUCAUCAAAGACAGGCUUCUUGGGAAUAAAUUCAAUCUGAUGAGUGUUUUCUUUGCAUUUUUGCAACGGAGUCUCGGGAUCACCUCCUGCUCCUCUGAAGCAGGAUAAUAAACCAGACGUGUUCUUUUGUUUCGAGGUAGUUUUGUCAUUAAUCAUUAAAAAUUAAUUCGUCUUCUAUAAAUUUUGGCUUAUCGUUAGAAAAAUGUAGUGGUCAUAUCAUCGUCUGUGUGAUUUGAUUCGCAAAAUUAGAGUAUUCUCAAGGUGUUGACCUACAUAUAUUAAUAUGUAAUUGUGUAUAUGUUGUGUAAUUUUCAAAUGUUUGUUUUAAAUAUGUUAUUUUGGUUUGAUUAGGUGUCUUAAGGAGAACUACUGCACGUAUAUGCAAUCAGGUUCUGUUCAACCCUACAUGUCUAGAGUUUUGGAGGAUGUGGUAUUUUUUUGCUGGCAAGGAUCACACAUUUUGCACUUGAGAUUCCGAGACUCCGUUGCAAAAGUGCAAAAUGUGCUUAAUAACUAUAAAUUUUUGUGAUCCUUAACACAAAACGA